AUACGUAGGGUGCAAGCGUUAAUCGGAAUUACUGGGCGUAAAGCGUGCGCAGGCGGUUUUGUAAGACAGUGGUGAAAUCCCCGGGCUCCACCUGGGAACUGCCAUUGUGACUGCAAGGCUGGAGGGCGGCAGAGGGGGAUGGAAUUCCGCGUGUAGCAGUGCAAUGCGUAGAUAUGCGGAGGAACACCGAUGGCGAAGGCAAUCCCCUGGGCCUGCACUGACGCUCAUGCACGAAAGCGUGGGGAGCAAACAGGAUUAGAUACCCUGGUAGUCCACGCCCUAAACGAUGUCAACUGGUUGUUGGGGAUUUAUUUUCUCAGUAACGAAGCUAACGCGUGAAGUUGACCGCCUGGGGAGUACGGCCGCAAGGUUAAAACUCAAAGGAAUUGACGGGG
Molecule: ribosomal RNA, 395 nt
Filed under: uncultured bacterium
Lineage: Bacteria
Description: partial 16S ribosomal RNA
Rfam family: Bacterial small subunit ribosomal RNA
Source: RNAcentral